CUUGAUCGAGCCCAGCCACAGCGGGUGGUCGCCGCGGUCGCGGCCGUAGGUGGCCAGCAGGGACUGCGCCUC
This 72-nucleotide antisense RNA is filed under the name Saccharothrix variisporea. Its description in RNAcentral is "Dactylosporangium variesporum ASpks TB sRNA". It matches the Rfam family "ASpks TB sRNA". The record is from Rfam by way of RNAcentral. Lineage: Bacteria; Bacillati; Actinomycetota; Actinomycetes; Pseudonocardiales; Pseudonocardiaceae.